RNAcentral lists this long non-coding RNA (200 nucleotides) under Elaeis guineensis (African oil palm). Its description in RNAcentral is "long non-coding RNA (EGUI_LNC081313)". The record is from RNAcentral. Lineage: Eukaryota; Viridiplantae; Streptophyta; Magnoliopsida; Arecales; Arecaceae.
UCGGCUUUAAUUAAAUCUUUUUUUAAUCUGACUUGAUGAAGUCAGUGGGAGGAUUGAAAUUGGCUGGUUAAUUUCUUCUCUUCUAUCCUUUAAUAAAAUCCUCAAAAUUAUUAGGUCCCUAAAAUGAUUAAGUUAUAGUGAUAACUAAGUCAUAACCUCCCAUUAAGUGAGUGAUAAUGAGUCCAUUAGUUUAAUAAUCA